GACGGAGAAGGCUAUGUUGGCCGGGCGACGGUUGUCCCGGUUUAAGCGUGUAGGCUGGUUUUCCAGGCAAAUCCGGAAAAUCAAGGCUGAGGCGUGAUGACGAGGCACUACGGUGCUGAAGCGACAAAUGCCCUGCUUCCAGGAAAAGCCUCUAAGCAUCAGGUAACAUCAAAUCGUACCCCAAACCGACACAGGUGGUCAGGUAGAGAAUACCAAGGCGCUUGAGAGAACUCGGGUGAAGGAACUAGGCAAAAUGGUGCCGUAACUUCGGGAGAAGGCACGCUGAUAUGUAGGUGAAGCGACUUGCUCGUGGAGCUGAAAUCAGUCGAAGAUACCAGCUGGCUGCAACUGUUUAUUAAAAACACAGCACUGUGCAAACACGAAAGUGGACGUAUACGGUGUGACGCCUGCCCGGUGCCGGAAGGUUAAUUGAUGGGGUUAGCGGUAACGCGAAGCUCUUGAUCGAAGCCCCGGUAAACGGCGGCCGUAACUAUAACGGUCCUAAGGUAGCGAAAUUCCUUGUCGGGUAAGUUCCGACCUGCACGAAUGGCGUAAUGAUGGCCAGGCUGUCUCCACCCGAGACUCAGUGAAAUUGAACUCGCUGUGAAGAUGCAGUGUACCCGCGGCAAGACGGAAAGACCCCGUGAACCUUUACUAUAGCUUGACACUGAACAUUGAGCCUUGAUGUGUAGGAUAGGUGGGAGGCUUUGAAGUGUGGACGCCAGUCUGCAUGGAGCCGACCUUGAAAUACCACCCUUUAAUGUUUGAUGUUCUAACGUGGGCCCCUUACCGGGGUUGCGGACAGUGUCUGGUGGGUAGUUUGACUGGGGCGGUCUCCUCCUAAAGAGUAACGGAGGAGCACGAAGGUUGGCUAAUCCUGGUCGGACAUCAGGAGGUUAGUGCAAUGGCAUAAGCCAGCUUGACUGCGAGCGUGACGGCGCGAGCAGGUGCGAAAGCAGGUCAUAGUGAUCCGGUGGUUCUGAAUGGAAGGGCCAUCGCUCAACGGAUAAAAGGUACUCCGGGGAUAACAGGCUGAUACCGCCCAAGAGUUCAUAUCGACGGCGGUGUUUGGCACCUCGAUGUCGGCUCAUCACAUCCUGGGGCUGAAGUAGGUCCCAAGGGUAUGGCUGUUCGCCAUUUAAAGUGGUACGCGAGCUGGGUUUAGAACGUCGUGAGACAGUUCGGUCCCUAUCUGCCGUGGGCGCUGGAGAACUGAGGGGGGCUGCUCCUAGUACGAGAGGACCGGAGUGGACGCAUCACUGGUGUUCGGGUUGUCAUGCCAAUGGCACUGCCCGGUAGCUAAAUGCGGAAGAGAUAAGUGCUGAAAGCAUCUAAGCACGAAACUUGCCCCGAGAUGAGUUCUCCCUGACUCCUUGAGAGUCCUGAAGGAACGUUGAAGACGACGACGUUGAUAGGCCGGGUGUGUAAGCGCAGCGAUGCGUUGAGCUAACCGGUACUAAUGAACCGUGAGGCUUAACCUU
This 1481-nucleotide ribosomal RNA is filed under the name Escherichia coli. Its description in RNAcentral is "partial 23S ribosomal RNA". It matches the Rfam family "Bacterial large subunit ribosomal RNA", at positions 1471 to 2925 of the family's 2925-position model. The record is from RNAcentral. Lineage: Bacteria; Pseudomonadati; Pseudomonadota; Gammaproteobacteria; Enterobacterales; Enterobacteriaceae.